This 107-nucleotide small nuclear RNA is filed under the name Microcebus murinus (gray mouse lemur). Lineage: Eukaryota; Metazoa; Chordata; Mammalia; Primates; Cheirogaleidae. The record is from RNAcentral.
GUGCUCACUUCGGCAGCACAUAUACUAAAAUUGGAAUGAUACAGAAAAGAUUAGCAUGGCCCCUGUGCAAGGAUGACAUACAAAUUCAUGAAGCGUUCCAUAUUUUU